RNAcentral lists this ribosomal RNA (425 nucleotides) under uncultured bacterium. RNAcentral describes it as "partial 16S ribosomal RNA". It matches the Rfam family "Bacterial small subunit ribosomal RNA", at positions 354 to 796 of the family's 1533-position model. The record is from RNAcentral.
GUGGGGAAUCUUGCGCAAUGGGCGAAAGCCUGACGCAGUCAUGCCGCGUGAAUGAUGAAGGUCUUAGGAUUGUAAAAUUCUUUCACCGGGGACGAUAAUGACGGUACCCGGAGAAGAAGCUCCGGCUAACUUCGUGCCAGCAGCCGCGGUAAUACGACGGGGGCUAGCGUUGCUCGGAAUUACUGGGCGUAAAGGGCGCGUAGGCGGACAGUUUAGUCAGCGGUGAAAGCCCAGGGCUCAACCUUGGAAUUGCCUUUGAUACUGGCUGUCUUGAGUACGGGAGAGGUGAGUGGAACUCCGAGUGUAGAGGUGAAAUUCGUAGAUAUUCGGAGGAACACCAGUGGCGAAGGCGGCUCACUGGCUCGAUACUGACGCUGAGGUGCGAAAGCGUGGGGAGCAAACAGGAUUAGAUACCCUAGUAGUCC